CACGUCAGCGCGAGUUGCUGACGUGGCAGCAAAUCAAGUCCUUGAGGGCACGAUUUAUUGUCACAUCAGCAACUCACGCUGACAAGG
This is a non-coding RNA of Gossypium hirsutum (cotton), 87 nucleotides long. The record is from Rfam. Lineage: Eukaryota; Viridiplantae; Streptophyta; Magnoliopsida; Malvales; Malvaceae.